Peromyscus maniculatus bairdii (prairie deer mouse) is the source of this 1161-nucleotide non-coding RNA. NCBI's taxonomy places the organism in Eukaryota, Metazoa, Chordata, Mammalia, Rodentia, Cricetidae. The record is from RefSeq and is a predicted model, not a curated record.
AGGACCCUGUCACUGCUGUCUGUGAGAGCAGGAUGCGGGAUGAGAACACAUGAACACAGUCAGGUCAUCUCCGCAGCCCGGGGACCCCGCUCCCAGGGUAGCACCUGCUGAGGAGCCGAAGGACGUCCUUGGACUCUGCAAGGGUGAAGCCGUGGGGGGGGUGUCACUCCGGGUUGGAGCCGGGCCAGGCUGUGUCAAAGCAGAAGGAGAGAGAGGAUUAGCCUGAGCCCCCCACAUCCUGCUACCUCCGAAUUGGACGUGACGGUACUCACUGAAGCUGAGCGGGACCCAGCCUCCUCGUCCGGGUCUUCCGCUUCUGUCUCACUGUAGCAAUCUAGAGUGAGGAGUUGGAGAACCAUGGAGCGGCGUUGGAGAGGCCAGGGAACUGGAGCUCUGGCGCCCAGCCUGGGAAAGGCAGGAGCUCAGGGAUGUCUGGACCCCUGCUCUGACUCGGUGAUACACUCACCUUCCUUUCUGGCAGAGGGCGCCUGACCCGGAGUCUGGUACUUGGAAAUGCAGGCUGUAGUUGGAGAUAUUGAUGAGUCCUUCGGCCUUUUCAUCCUGGGGGAUCACAGUACAAGGGUCAGCAUGCGACCUCCAGGUCAGCACGGAGCCCUAGGUCAGACAGCCAGCUCCCUAGGUAACUCUCUGGGUUUCUGGAACUCAGGGCAGAAGGUGUGGCCAAGAGGCCCCUCUGAGCAGGAACAGGAGAGCAAAGGUUCCAGAACAGCCAAAGGGAGCAGCUUGCUUAGACAGGCCCUCUCCCAGGAACUGCUUCCUGUCCCAAAGCAUUUUUCCCUUCCUGGUUUUCCUUUUCCCUAACAAACAUCCAAACACAGCUUUCCAAAGAAGCUUCUAGACUCCUUGGACUAGAUCAGACACCUCUGCUGGGCUCCCAUACAUCGCCUGGAAGUUCCUUCAUCCUAGCACACUGUCCUUAAGGAUGUAUUCAGCUCUUUCCCCCACGGGCCUCUAAGUUACAAGAGGGGCAGGACUCUCCAAAUCUUUCCUGUUCCCCCAGGGCUUUAGAGCUCAGGGAUGGGUCCAGCAGGCACCUGGAUAUCUACUGAGUGAAGAAGGGAUUGAGUGGCCAUCACCAGUGAUAGACUAUCAGAAGAGAAGAGAGAGAGAGUAAAAACGAUUGCCCUACACUUAAAAAAA